This 253-nucleotide ribosomal RNA is filed under the name uncultured bacterium. RNAcentral describes it as "partial 16S ribosomal RNA". It matches the Rfam family "Bacterial small subunit ribosomal RNA", at positions 524 to 776 of the family's 1533-position model. The record is from RNAcentral.
UACAGAGGGUGCAAGCGUUGUUCGGAAUCAUUGGGCGUAAAGCGCACGUAGGCGGCCUGCCAAGUCAGGUGUGAAAGCCCAGGGCUCAACCCUGGAAGUGCACUUGAAACUGGUAGGCUUGAGUGUCGGAGAGGGUGGUGGAAUUCCGAGUGUAGAGGUGAAAUUCGUAGAUAUUCGGAGGAACACCAGUGGCGAAGGCGACCACCUGGACGAACACUGACGCUGAGGUGCGAAAGCGUGGGGAGCAAACAGG